RNAcentral lists this ribosomal RNA (476 nucleotides) under Treponema sp. canine oral taxon 087. Its description in RNAcentral is "bacterial SSU rRNA". It matches the Rfam family "Bacterial small subunit ribosomal RNA", at positions 9 to 480 of the family's 1533-position model. The record is from RNAcentral. Lineage: Bacteria; Pseudomonadati; Spirochaetota; Spirochaetia; Treponematales; Treponemataceae.
GAGUUUGAUUCUGGCUCAGAACGAACGCUGGCGGCGCGUCUUAAGCAUGCAAGUCGAACGGCAAGAUACUUUCGGGUAUCCUAGAGUGGCGGACUGGUGAGUAACGCGUGGAUGACGUACCCUCGUGACGGGGAUAGCCGGUAGAAAUACCGGAUAAUACCGGAUAAGGUCUCACGGAAUAAAGGUGAGAGAGGAAAGCAGCGUAUGCUGCGCAGGAGGAACGGUCUGCGACCUAUCAGCUGGUUGGCAGGGUAAAGGCCUACCAAGGCGACGACGGGUAUCCGGCCUGAGAGGGUGGACGGACACAUUGGGACUGUGAUACGGCCCAGACUCCUACGGGAGGCAGCAGCUAAGAAUAUUCCGCAAUGGGGGAAACCCUGACGGAGCGACGCCGCGUGGACGAUGAAGGUCGGAAGAUUGUAAAGUCCUUUUAUACAUGAAGAAGAAGUUAUACAGGAAGUGGUAUGAUGGUGACU